CAAGUCUUGACAUCCCUCUGAAUCCUCUAGAGAUAGAGGCGGCCUUCGGGACAGAGGUGACAGGUGGUGCAUGGUUGUCGUCAGCUCGUGUCGUGAGAUGUUGGGUUAAGUCCCGCAACGAGCGCAACCCUUGAUUUUAGCUGCCAGCACUUUGGGUGGGCACUCUAGAAUGACUGCCGGUGACAAACCGGAGGAAGGCGGGGAUGACGUCAAAUCAUCAUGCCCCUUAUGACUUGGGCUACACACGUACUACAAUGGCUGGUACAACGGGAAGCGAAGCCGCGAGGUGGAGCCAAUCCUAUAAAAGCCAGUCUCAGUUCGGAUUGCAGGCUGCAACUCGCCUGCAUGAAGUCGGAAUUGCUAGUAAUCGCGAUCAGCAUGCCGCCGGUGAAUACGUUCCC
RNAcentral lists this ribosomal RNA (401 nucleotides) under uncultured bacterium. RNAcentral describes it as "bacterial SSU rRNA". It matches the Rfam family "Bacterial small subunit ribosomal RNA", at positions 975 to 1375 of the family's 1533-position model. The record is from RNAcentral.